CGACUGCUAAUACCGCAUACGCCCUACGGGGGAAAGGAGGGGACCUUCGGGCCUUUCGCGAUUGGAUGAACCUAGGUGGGAUUAGCUAGUAGGUGGGGUAAUGGCUCACCUAGGCAACGAUCCCUAGCUGGUCUGAGAGGAUGAUCAGCCACACUGGAACUGAGACACGGUCCAGACUCCUACGGGAGGCAGCAGUGGGGAAUAUUGCACAAUGGGCGAAAGCCUGAUGCAGCCAUGCCGCGUGUAUGAAGAAGGCCUUCGGGUUGUAAAGUACUUUCAGCGAGGAGGAAAGGUAGGUAGUUAAUAACUGCUUACUGUGACGUUACUCGCAGAAGAAGCACCGGCUAACUUCGUGCCAGCAGCCGCGGUAAUACGAGGGGUGCAAGCGUUAAUCGGAAUUACUGGGCGUAAAGCGUACGCAGGCGGUUUGUUAAGCAAGAUGUGAAAGCCCCGGGCUCAACCUGGGAACUGCAUUUUGAACUGGCAAACUAGAGUCUUGUAGAGGGGGGUAGAAUUUCAGGUGUAGCGGUGAAAUGCGUA
This 540-nucleotide ribosomal RNA is filed under the name Shewanella sp. 12La. RNAcentral describes it as "bacterial SSU rRNA". It matches the Rfam family "Bacterial small subunit ribosomal RNA", at positions 157 to 692 of the family's 1533-position model. Lineage: Bacteria; Pseudomonadati; Pseudomonadota; Gammaproteobacteria; Alteromonadales; Shewanellaceae. The record is from RNAcentral.